RNAcentral lists this long non-coding RNA (856 nucleotides) under Bos taurus (domestic cattle). Its description in RNAcentral is "long non-coding RNA NONBTAT006065". Lineage: Eukaryota; Metazoa; Chordata; Mammalia; Artiodactyla; Bovidae. The record is from RNAcentral.
GUGCCCUGAGAAAUUCCCCAGCUCUCACGUGACGGAGCCAUCAUUGCAUCGUCACUUACCCACCUGGUAGAAUGUUUGGUUGUGUUUCAGUGUGACACUAUACCAGUAAGAGUCCUCUAGACCCUAGGGUCCCACGGAACUUGAGGGAAUAUGCAUAGCCCGAGGGAGCUUACGGCAUAUGUAGCUGAUCCAUCUUCCCUGUUUGCGCUCCUGAGCCUCCAUGAGUUCAUUACGUGGGCUGGCGAGUGGAGUCUCCUUUAAUACCUAAAUCGGUAUAUUUCCCCCUUUGGCUUUUAGUAGAAUUUCUGCCCAUAGGAUCUCCUUUUUUCAGGCUUCAUCUGUGUAGUGUAAGAUUUCCAUUCUGUUGCCUAAGAUUAUUUAGCUGCGGUGCAGCUCAGCCCUAAUUGAGUAUGCUCAUAUAGAGUGUUUGUCUCACAUUUUUUAAAUAGAGCAUUUGAGUGGCUUUUAUCCAAUUAGUGCUAUGAUCUACUUUUGGAUAACUGUAAUAGGAUAAAGUAAAACUCGUUCUGUUGUAAUAAAACAGGUUUUCUCUAAUCAAGGAGCUUGAAAGGAUCUUCCAGUUCAGUGGAUUUCAGACCUUUUUAAUAGUGAAACCUUUCAUUAAAUGAACUUUCCCACAGAGUCCCAGGCUGUAAAUGCCAGUUGAGAUUGAAGUACCCGUGAAGGGCCUAAAGACCUGCCUCUCACUUCUCUUAUUACCAACUCCUAAAAUAACUCCCCAAGUCAUCAUGUUAAACCCACUGCUCUAGUGCAGCGGUGCUGCAGAUGGAAAUGUGGAAAUGGGGCUGUUUUCCCCAGGGCCUCCCUGCUGUGUUCCCUCACACAUCCUCAGUCC